UACGAAGGGUGCAAGCGUUACUCGGAAUUACUGGGCGUAAAGCGUGCGUAGGCGGUUUGUUAAGUCUGUCGUGAAAGCCCCGGGCUCAACCUGGGAAUGGCGGUGGAUACUGGCAGGCUAGAGUACGGUAGAGGAUGGUGGAAUUCCCGGUGUAGCGGUGAAAUGCGUAGAGAUCGGGAGGAACAUCAGUGGCGAAGGCGGCCAUCUGGACCAGCACUGACGUUGAGGCACGAAAGCGUGGGGAGCAAACAGG
Molecule: ribosomal RNA, 253 nt
Filed under: uncultured bacterium
Lineage: Bacteria
Description: partial 16S ribosomal RNA
Rfam family: Bacterial small subunit ribosomal RNA
Source: RNAcentral